This 407-nucleotide ribosomal RNA is filed under the name uncultured bacterium. RNAcentral's name for it is "bacterial SSU rRNA". It matches the Rfam family "Bacterial small subunit ribosomal RNA", at positions 509 to 916 of the family's 1533-position model. The record is from RNAcentral.
CAGCAGCCGCGGUAAUACGGAGGGUGCGAGCGUUGUUCGGAAUCACUGGGCGUAAAGCGCGUGUAGGCGGCCUUCUAAGUCUGGUGUGAAAGCCCGGGGCUCACCCCCGGAAGUGCACUGGAAACUGGGAGGCUUGAGUACCGGAGAGGAGGGUGGAAUUCCUGGUGUAGCGGUGAAAUGCGUAGAUAUCAGGAGGAACACCGGUGGCGAAGGCGGCCCUCUGGACGGAUACUGACGCUGAGACGCGAAAGCGUGGGGAGCAAACAGGAUUAGAUACCCUGGUAGUCCACGCCGUAAACUAUGGAAGCUAGCCGUCAGUCAGCUUGCUGAGUGGUGGCGCAGCUAACGCAUUAAGCUUCCCGCCUGGGGAGUACGGUCGCAAGAUUAAAACUCAAAGGAAUUGACGG